RNAcentral lists this ribosomal RNA (609 nucleotides) under uncultured bacterium. Its description in RNAcentral is "bacterial SSU rRNA". It matches the Rfam family "Bacterial small subunit ribosomal RNA", at positions 338 to 942 of the family's 1533-position model. The record is from RNAcentral.
CCUACGGGAGGCAGCAGUGGGGAAUUUUGGACAAUGGGCGCAAGCCUGAUCCAGCAAUGCCGCGUGAGUGAAGAAGGCCUUCGGGUUGUAAAGCUCUUUUGUCAGGGAAGAAACGGUCUACUCUAAUACAGUGGGCUAAUGACGGUACCUGAAGAAUAAGCACCGGCUAACUACGUGCCAGCAGCCGCGGUAAUACGUAGGGUGCAAGCGUUAAUCGGAAUUACUGGGCGUAAAGCGUGCGCAGGCGGUUAUAUAAGUCAGAUGUGAAAUCCCCGGGCUCAACCUGGGAACUGCAUUUGAGACUGUAUGGCUAGAGUGUGUCAGAGGGGGGUAGAAUUCCACGUGUAGCAGUGAAAUGCGUAGAUAUGUGGAGGAAUACCGAUGGCGAAGGCAGCCCCCUGGGAUAACACUGACGCUCAUGCACGAAAGCGUGGGGAGCAAACAGGAUUAGAUACCCUGGUAGUCCACGCCCUAAACGAUGUCUACUAGUUGUCGGGACUUAAUGUCUUGGUAACGCAGCUAACGCGUGAAGUAGACCGCCUGGGGAAGUCGGUGCAAAGNUUAAAACGNAAGNGAGUUGCGNGNGNGNGNGCGAGNGACGAGGAGGAG